This 316-nucleotide ribosomal RNA is filed under the name uncultured eukaryote. Its description in RNAcentral is "partial 18S ribosomal RNA". It matches the Rfam family "Eukaryotic small subunit ribosomal RNA", at positions 1470 to 1796 of the family's 1831-position model. The record is from RNAcentral.
CCCUUAGAUGUUCUGGGCCGCACGCGUGCUACACUGACCGGCGCAACAAGUUUCUUUCCUUGGCUCGAUAGGCCUGGGUAAUCUUUGAACGCCGGUCGUGAUGGGGAUAGAUCCUUGCAAUUUUUGAUCUUCAACGAGGAAUUCCUAGUAAAUGCGAGUCAUCAUCUCGCGUUGAUUACGUCCCUGCCCUUUGUACACACCGCCCGUCGCACCUACCGAUUGAAUGGUCCGGUGAAGCCUCGGGGUUGCGAAUGCUUCGUGCGGACGCGAGAACUUGGCUAAACCUUACCAUUUAGAGGAAGGUGAAGUCGUAACA